Molecule: long non-coding RNA, 619 nt
Filed under: Helianthus annuus (common sunflower)
Lineage: Eukaryota; Viridiplantae; Streptophyta; Magnoliopsida; Asterales; Asteraceae
Source: RNAcentral
AUAUAUAGUGUAAGUAUAUGGAGAAAACCAAUUUUAGUGAGAAAACUUAGCAAACUAGAAUAUGUGGUCCACAUUCACCCACAUCACCUCAUCCAUACCCAUCCUUUAAGGGUAUUUUGGUCUUUUUGUUUCUUUCUUUGAAGAUUGUGCUUUGUACUUUUCACCAACCAUCACAUUUCCCCACAUCCCCACUUGAUUAUACCCAACCCAUCAUCCAUCACCUUUUGUACUUCUUAUCAUCCAUCAUAUUUUUCAAAACUCCAUUGUUCUCUUCUUCAACCAUUGAAAUCUGAAGAUCGAAGAUCGAAGCCAUCCCUUCCAACCUUUGAAAUAUGAAGAUCGAAGCCACCAUCAAUGCUCUGCCACCAUCAAAGCUCUCAAAGAUCGAAGAUCAAAGCCACCAUCCCUUCCAACCUUGAAAUCUGAAGAUCGAAGCCACCAUUGAAGAUCGAAGCCACCAUCAAAGCUCUCAAAGAAAAGGAAGCUCGGUGUCAUUUUAAUCACAUCUUUGUUUCUGUUUUUUAGAGAAGGAAAGCUAAUGUUUUGGAAGGAGAGAUAACAAUUUUCAUGUUGUGGAAAGAUGUUUUGUGUUCAAGAUGAAGAUGGUUAUCAAGAAGCG